GGAGAGGUUAUAGCUCAAUGGUCGAGCACCUGCUUGGCAUGCAGAAGGUCCCAGGUUCAAGCCCCCACAUCUCCA
Molecule: transfer RNA, 75 nt
Filed under: Sphaerodactylus townsendi
Lineage: Eukaryota; Metazoa; Chordata; Lepidosauria; Squamata; Sphaerodactylidae
Description: tRNA-Ala
Source: RNAcentral